Non-coding RNA from Mycena filopes, 92 nucleotides. Lineage: Eukaryota; Fungi; Basidiomycota; Agaricomycetes; Agaricales; Mycenaceae. The record is from the annotation of a GenBank genome assembly.
GGUUGGAUGGCCGAGUGGUCUAAGGCGCUAGAAUCAGGUCAUUGUCUCAUAUCUAGUCCUCCGGGGCGUGGGUUCGAAUCCCACUCCAAUCA